AUCCCAUGAUGAGGACAUUCGAGUAUGUAGUCUUGAAAGCGCUCCUAUGCUUUUGGGACUAUCUCAUCAUGUUGUUGCUAAAAGCUCGAUAUCUUCCCACGCAGAGCAU
Molecule: small nucleolar RNA, 109 nt
Filed under: Sorghum bicolor (sorghum)
Lineage: Eukaryota; Viridiplantae; Streptophyta; Magnoliopsida; Poales; Poaceae
Description: Plant small nucleolar RNA R71
Rfam family: Plant small nucleolar RNA R71
About the family: R71 is a member of the C/D box family of snoRNAs containing the C (UGAUGA) and D (CUGA) box motifs. Multiple nearly identical copies of this snoRNA have been identified in Arabidopsis, and it is thought to function as a 2'-O-ribose methylation guide for 18S ribosomal RNA.
Source: Rfam by way of RNAcentral